This 478-nucleotide ribosomal RNA is filed under the name uncultured bacterium. RNAcentral's name for it is "partial 16S ribosomal RNA". It matches the Rfam family "Bacterial small subunit ribosomal RNA", at positions 28 to 506 of the family's 1533-position model. The record is from RNAcentral.
GAUGAACGCUAGCGGGAGGCCUAACACAUGCAAGCCGAGCGGUAUUUGUUCUUCGGAACAGAGAGAGCGGCGCACGGGUGCGGAACACGUGUGCAACCUGCCUUUAUCUGGGGGAUAGCCUUUCGAAAGGAAGAUUAAUACCCCAUAAUAUAUUGAGUGGCAUCAUUUGAUAUUGAAAACUCCGGUGGAUAGAGAUGGGCACGCGCAAGAUUAGAUAGUUGGUGAGGUAACGGCUCACCAAGUCAAUGAUCUUUAGGGGGCCUGAGAGGGUGAUCCCCCACACUGGUACUGAGACACGGGCCAGACUCCUACGGGAGGCAGCAGUGAGGAAUAUUGGACAAUGGGUUAGCGCCUGAUCCAGCCAGCCCGCGUGAAGGACGACGGCCCUAUGGGUUGUAAACUUCUUUUGUAUAGGGAUAAACCUACUCUCGUGAGAGUAGCUGAAGGUACUAUACGAAUAAGCACCGGCUAACUCCGU